GAGUGUUAAAGCAGUUUUAGAAUUUGCGUAGCAGGUGUUCCGGCCCGCACCGGAGAGCCCCU
RNAcentral lists this small nuclear RNA (62 nucleotides) under Camelus bactrianus (Bactrian camel). RNAcentral's name for it is "U7 small nuclear RNA". It matches the Rfam family "U7 small nuclear RNA". From Rfam's summary of the family: Animal histone pre-mRNAs are spliced by a different mechanism than nuclear pre-mRNAs and self-splicing introns. This processing involves the U7 snRNP, which contains only one RNA species: U7. RNAcentral also lists the same sequence under 1 other name. Lineage: Eukaryota; Metazoa; Chordata; Mammalia; Artiodactyla; Camelidae. The record is from Rfam by way of RNAcentral.